RNAcentral lists this ribosomal RNA (479 nucleotides) under uncultured Anoxybacillus sp. Its description in RNAcentral is "bacterial SSU rRNA". It matches the Rfam family "Bacterial small subunit ribosomal RNA", at positions 907 to 1382 of the family's 1533-position model. The record is from RNAcentral. Lineage: Bacteria; Bacillati; Bacillota; Bacilli; Caryophanales; Anoxybacillaceae.
UGAAUUGACGGGGCCCGCACAAGCGGUGGAGCAUGUGGUUUAAUUCGAAGCAACGCGAAGAACCUUACCAGGUCUUGACAUCCCCUGACAACCCGAGAGAUCGGGCGUUCCCCCUUCGGGGGACAGGGUGACAGGUGGUGCAUGGUUGUCGUCAGCUCGUGUCGUGAGAUGUUGGGGUUAAGUCCCGCAACGAGCGCAACCCUCGACCUUAGUUGCCAGCAUUCAGUUGGGCACUCUAAGGUGACUGCCGGCUAAAAGUCGGAGGAAGGUGGGGAUGACGUCAAAUCAUCAUGCCCCUUAUGACCUGGGCUACACACGUGCUACAAUGGGCGGUACAAAGGGUCGCGAACCCGCGAGGGGGAGCCAAUCCCAAAAAGCCGCUCCCAGUUCGGAUUGCAGGCUGCAACUCGCCUGCAUGAAGCCGGAAUCGCUAGUAAUCGCGGAUCAGCAUGCCGCGGUCGAAUACGUUCCCGGGCCUU